AAAGGUUAAAAUAGUAAAAGAAUAAUAAUGUAUAUUAUAUCAUAAAUAUUAUAAAAUAAAGUCAUUUUCUUCACCUUUUUCCACCGAAAACAAGAGAAAGAAACUUUGUUCUUCAAGCUUUAGCAUUCGGCCAUCUUAGGGAUUUCAAUUCAAGGUUAGUUUGAUUUUAGUUUUUGAUAAUUUUUACGUUUUUGUGAUCGUUGCUUUGAAUACUUAAAAAAUCAUGUAUUAAUUUUGUGAAUUGAUGAUGAUUUUGUGUUUUGCCAUUGAUGAGUGCUUGAGCUUUUUGAUAGUUGUUGAUAAAAAAUGAAAGAUAUGUUAAAGAUUAAUAUGUUUUGUAUUGGAUUUUUUGGUGAUUUUGAGUAAUUAGGGCUAAAUUACAAAAAAAUAAAUUUUUGAAGGACUAAAAUGUGAAAUACAUGAAAUGUAUGGACUUAUAUGGGUACUAGGAAGAUUCGGCCCUUAGGGAGUGUGGCCAAAUUUUGUGUAUUUUGUGUUUUGUGCAAUAAGAACUAAAUUGUGAAAAUGUGAAUUAUUAGGGGUAAAAAUAUAAUUUUCCCAUUUAUGUGUUUUAAAUGAGAUUUAUUUGAAUAUGUUUAGAUCAAGAAACCAAGAAAUCGGAUUUAGAUCGGGGGAAAUCGAAAGUAGUUGAGUAGCCGAUCUAUUAGUCGACGACAUCGGAAGUAAGUUAUUAAGCACAUAUAUAAUUGUAUCGUUUUAAAAUCAGCUUAGUAUCUGAGUAAUUAUGCUGAAUUGAAUGGUAUAUAUAUAUAUACAUGUAGUGAUAAAAUUAUUGAAAUAAGAUGUAUUGAGUUGUUGAUUUUCGACACUAAGUGUGCGAAUUUAAUUGUGAAGCACUAAGUUGCGAGUUUAAUUGUAAAGCACUAAGUGUGCGAGUUUAAUGGUAAAGCACUAAGUGUGUGAGUUUGAUUAUUGAGCACUAAGUGUGCAAACUUAUUAAAUAUUUUCGAAUAACUAUUAGUAUUGAGUAAUUGUCUUAUUGAGAAAUCAUGAUUAUUAAAAUGAGUAAAUACUUGGAAUUCUUGAGUAAUAACCAUUAUGGUUGUAUUUUAAGGUUAAGCUUUGUAGGAAUUAAACCUAUGUGGUGAUUAUAUUUGGAAUCAUAUAUAUAUAAUAUGAUUCUUUAUAAUACAUGAUGAGGAAAUGCAUAAUGUAUUUGGUCUUGUGAUUAAAUUUGAAGAAAUGUUUAAGGUCGUGUAAUUAUAUUGAUUUUAGUUAAAUCAUAGUAAUAAGUGAAUAAGUAUUUUAUGAUAUGGUAGGCUAAAUGUAAGAUGAUUUAGUAGUAUGAAUUGGUUGAAUAUUAUUUGAGAUAUCGGUUUAAAUAGUAGAGUAUAUUUGCUUAUAACCUACUAAGCUAAAUUAGCUUACAAUGUGUUGGAUAAUUGUUUUGAUGUAUAGAUUUUGGUGAUCGCUAUGUGUUCGGGGAUCGUCAGCUAAGCUCGUCACACUAUCGAUAUUUUCUUUUGGUAUUUUGCUAAAUCGUUCUCAAAUAUAUGGCAUGUAUAGUAUAGUUAAAAUAUUGAUUUUGGAACUAAUGUGUAUAUGUAUCUAAAAGCCAUGCUAAAAUGGCUUAUCUCUUUUGGUUUGAAUUCGGUAUUAAUGCAUAUUCUUUAAUGGUCUAAAAUGUGGUACAUGUUCAUGAAAUUUUUAUGCUUAAAUGCUGCCCAAUUUGUGGUAAUUAUGCUGCC
This 1709-nucleotide long non-coding RNA is filed under the name Gossypium barbadense (sea-island cotton). RNAcentral describes it as "long non-coding RNA (GBAR_LNC015725)". The record is from RNAcentral. Lineage: Eukaryota; Viridiplantae; Streptophyta; Magnoliopsida; Malvales; Malvaceae.